GCUAGCUAUCCUGUUCGCGCUUCAGCCUGCGGGAGGGAUACCUCCUGGGUAUUCUCGAGAUCCAGCUCUCGGUUCCUGGGAUCUUGGAAUCUGCUCACACGUGGCUUGUACGGCGGAGGUUGUCCGGUCAGCGGGUUGCGGAGGAUCCCGCAGGUAGCAAAGGGAGGGCGAGGGCCCCUGCGACCCCAGACUGCGACUAGAACAUCCAUCAUUGUUAGCCCCGCAGCUAGCUUGGACACCAUUAAAAGGGCUCAUCAGCUUCAAAUGAAUAAAAGUAUCUGAUAUUCAUGAAGACAGAGUUUCAGGGCUUCUACCAGGAGCUACACUCUCUAGAAGCCCCUGCUUGGCCUUCCUGCACCCAACCCCACCCCAACUAGUCACAUCUUGGCUGUGUAUGGUGUUUCUUGGCAACUGGAACACAGACUCCUCCAGCAGCUCCACAGAUCCCUUGUCCUCAGUGAGCAGAAGACUACAGAAACUGUCUACUGAAGAGGCUGUCCAUGUGAUUGAGCUCGGCUCUGCUUAACACACUUAACCACAGAGCAGUAACUGAGUGCUGGAUGUUACUCAUUCGUGCUCACCUCCUGCAGGUCACCCACUCCAUGACAUUCAUCCUUUAGUAUCUGCUCUUCGCUAAGGAGAAAACAACACCACCUGUCGUCUGUUAACCCGAGGACAGAAUGCCCAGGUGAGCCUGACUCACAGUACCUGUACUUAGCUAACCUUGACCACGUGCUGCCAAAGCUCCUGCAAGCCUUCCCUCCAAGCACAGCAGCAGCCCAGCUCCGGAGCGGACAGGCAUUCCACCCCACAGAAGUGAUCUGCUGUCACCUACUCUUGGGGGGCAAAGGGGAUUAUGGGGAGAUUAGAAGAAGAUAGAUGGCCCCACUCCGUCAACCCAUAUUGUUAUCAGACAACUCAUUCUGGUCCACACAACAACCCCACCGGUGCACUGACUGAGGGGAGCCACGUGUUUAGUUCCCUGGACUCCCGUGUGACCUCACCCACUGACUUCCCCAGAAGGGGCUCUGUAACCUCUUCGGGAAGCUGAAGCCAGACAGUGACUGAGAGGUUCUGUUCAGCUCCUCCUCUCCUGGGCAGCUUCACCCAGGAGUAACUUCAGUAACCAGUGGGGUGUGUGCUCGCCACUCAGGUUUUCAAAACAAAACCAUAUAUUGUUUAGGGAUACUUACACAGGAAGCAAAUUCAAGAAAAGCAAAAAAAAAAAAAAAAAAGAGAGAGAGAGAGAGAGAGAGAGAGAGAGAGAGAGAACAUCAAGGUCAGGAUAAUGGUUUCCUCUGGGGCAGGGGAAGAGGUAUGUGAAGGGAAACAGGAGGGUUCUAAAAUACUUUAAUGUUCUAGUUCUUAGCAUGGUUGGGAGGUAGAUGGGAAUUUUAUUAUUCUUCCUUAAACUGUACAAGUUUUAGAAACUGUUCCAUAUGUUCAGUGUAUUUAAAAUUUUAACAGAAACACAAUUUUCAAACCAAAUAAUAUGUACAACUGACUGAACACAUAGAAUCAAAGAUAAUCACAAUAAACACAUCAGAAUACCUGCCUAUGGAGGGAGAGGGUUGGAAAUGGGAGUGGAGAAUGAGAAAAUGGGAUGCACAAAUUUAUAUCUAUAAAAGCCCAGCGACCAUUAUGGCAGAAUGAUUGGAACAACCAGAACAAUGGGUCACUAUGACACUCACUGACUACCAGGGGGCAGAUGCUCAACACAGAAGCUGCCCCUGGUGGUCAGUGCAUUCCCACAGCAGGAGCACUGCUCAGCCCGAAGUGGGGCUCACAGCUGGUGAAUGCAAUGGCAGUGGUGGGAGCUUCUCCCGCCUCUGCAGCAGUGCUAAGGAUAAGGAGCGGCGAGCCAAGUGGUAAGAAGUGAGCAGGUGGGCGGUAAGGGGCAAGCAGGUGGGUAGUUAGGAGCAAGGGGUCAUGGUUUGUGAGAGUGAUGUCCAACUGCCAGUUUAGGCCCAAUCAGACACCCCCCGAGGGGCCCCAGAUUGCAAGAGGGCACAGGCUGGGCUGAGGGAACAACCCUCCCCCCCAUGCACGGAUUUUGUGCAUUGGGCCUCUAGUAAAUAAAUAACAUAUACAUUCUACUUAUCAAAGAUAAUUAUGUGACCAUGGAGUACAGUUUCCUCUACCUUCUGCACCAGAAUAUUGAAUGUGAUAAAGAAGCUGAACCUUACUAAAUCUGAUUGGUCCAAAAUCAAUCUGUAUAAAACCAAAUCACAUGAAUACUGCAAAGAGUAUUAUAAUCAAGUAAAUGGUUGCUACAGAAGGUUUUCCCAGGUGGAGGAUUUUGAAGGCCCCUCUGAGUGGUCAUUUCUCCAAAGUUUCAUCUGUGUUCUGCUGUCCAGCAUUCCUGAAGGAUUUCAAAUGCAGCCCUUGGCUUAUCAGCCCAUUUCGCAAUAAAACUUGAAAACCAAUAGAGAGGUUCACAGAGAGGAAGGGGGGUCAAAUAUAUGGUGACAGAAAGACUAAACUUUGGGUGAUGAGCACACAGUGCAAUAUACAGAUGAUGUAUUAUAAUAUUGUACACUUGAAACUAAUAUAGUCUUAUUAACCAUUGUCACCCCAAUAAAUUUAAUUUUUUUAAAAAGAGAAAGCAGGAGACUAAACUGGUAUCCCUACAAGAGGAAAAGACCAAACCCUCAUACCUCAAAAAGAAGUACAGUCCUAUGUUGGACUGUGUCUUGGAAAUUGCCUCUAUGGUUUAAAAAGAUCAUGUAUGCAUAUCUCAUGGACAUGGACAAUAGUUUGGUGAAGGCCAAGGGAGGGAGGGUGGAAGUGGUCA
This is a long non-coding RNA of Myotis daubentonii (Daubenton's bat), 2794 nucleotides long. RefSeq lists it as uncharacterized. The record is from RefSeq and is a predicted model, not a curated record. Lineage: Eukaryota; Metazoa; Chordata; Mammalia; Chiroptera; Vespertilionidae.